AUUGGGUUUUUAAAACCUAAAGGCAUAAUUAACUUAACUGUUAAUUUUAAUGGGAUUAAAAUAUAUAUAAUUUUUUUAUAUAUAUAUUCCAUCCCGGGGCGUUCUAUAUAGUUAUGCAUUUUAAUAUAUUUUAUAUAUUAUAUAUGCCUCUAACUAGAGCGUACCUUGAGCAUAUAUGCUGUGACCCGAAAGAUGGUGAACUAUACCUGAUCAGGUUGAAGUCAGGGGAAACCCUGAUGGAAGACCGAAACAGUUCUGACGUGCAAAUCGAUUGUCAGAAUUGGGUAUAGGGGCGAAAGACCAAUCGAACCAUCUAGUAGCUGGUUCCCUCCGAAGUUUCCCUCAGGAUAGCUGGUGCAUUUAAAUUUUAUAUAAAAUAAUCUUAUCUGGUAAAGCGAAUGAUUAGAGGCCUUAGGGCCGAAACGACCUUAACCUAUUCUCAAAACUUUAAAUGGGUAAGAACCUCACCUUUCUUGAAAUGAAGGUCGAGGUUAUGAUAUAUUGUGCCCAGUGGGCCACUUUUGGUAAGCAGAACUGGCGCUGUGGGAUGAACCAAACGUGAUGUUACGGCGCCCAAAUUAACAACUCAUACUGAUACCAUGAAAGGCGUUGCUUGCUUAUAACAGCAGGACGGUGGACAUGGAAGUCGUAAUCCGCUAAGGAGUGUGUAACAACUCACCUGCCGAAGCAACUAGCCCUUAAAAUGGAUGGCGCUCAAGUUGUAUGCCUAUACAUCACCGUUAAAAUAUAUGAUUUAUAAAAAAAAAUAAAAAAUUUUAUAAAUUUUGAAAUUUUAAUGAGUAGGAGGGUACAAUGGUGUGCGUCGAAGUGUUUGGCGUAAGCCUGCAUGGAGCCGCCAUUGGUACAGAUCUUGGUGGUAGUAGCAAAUAAUCGAAUGAGACCUUGGAGGACUGAAGUGGAGAAGGGUUUCGUGUGAACAGUGGUUGAUCACGAGUUAGUCGGUCCUAAGUUCAAGGCGAAAGCCGAAAAAUUUUUAAGUUUAAAUUGUAUUAAAUUAAUAAAUUUAAUAUACUUAAAAUUUUGAACGAAAGGGAAUACGGUUCCAAUUCCGUAACCUGUUGAGUAUACGUUUGUUAUUAAAAAUGGGCUUUUAUGCUCAUCCUGGUAACAGAAACAACCAUAAAGAAGCCGUCGAGAAAUAUCGAAAGAGUUUUCUUUUCUGUUUCAUAGUCGUACUACCAUGGAAGUCUUUCGAAGAGAGAUAUGGUAGAUGGACUAGAAGAGCAUGGCAUUUACUGCUGUGUCGAUAUUUUCUCCUCGGACCUUGAAAAUUUAUGGUAGGGAUACGCAAACUUCUUAACAGGCCGUACCGAUAUCCGCAGCUGGUCUCCAAGGUGAAGAGCCCUCUAGUCGAUAGAAUA
This 1382-nucleotide ribosomal RNA is filed under the name Rhabdogaster pedion. RNAcentral describes it as "eukaryotic LSU rRNA". It matches the Rfam family "Eukaryotic large subunit ribosomal RNA", at positions 693 to 1897 of the family's 3401-position model. Lineage: Eukaryota; Metazoa; Arthropoda; Insecta; Diptera; Asilidae. The record is from RNAcentral.